ACGAUUUUUUCUUCUUUUCCAAGAUUUUUUCUCAUUUUUUUUUAUUUACCUUCCACAAUCAACUCAAAUUGUUAUACAUUCUCUUUCAUAAAAAAAGAAGGUAUUUUAACCAAAAUAAAACUCUCUACCUCCUCUAUUAUGAAAGUUUGUACAAUUAUUGAUAUGAACAAUGUUUCAAUUCUAAUUCAAUACAACAGACGAUGAGAUGCAACAAGUAUGUGUUGAUAAAUACGUUGAAAUUG
Molecule: long non-coding RNA, 242 nt
Filed under: Solanum tuberosum (potato)
Lineage: Eukaryota; Viridiplantae; Streptophyta; Magnoliopsida; Solanales; Solanaceae
Description: long non-coding RNA (STUB_LNC010530)
Source: RNAcentral